UCGUCGAGCGUCGUGUCGUUGAGAUGUUGGUUAGUCCGCACGAGCGCAACCCCUAUUGUUAGUUGCCAUCAUUCAGUUGGGCACUCUAGCGAGACUGCCGGUAAUAAACCGGAGGAAGGUGGGGAUGACGUCAAAUCAUCAUGCCCCUUAUGACCUGGGCUACACACGUGCUACAAUGGUUGGUACAACGAGUUGCGAGUCGGUGACGGCGAGCUAAUCUCUUAAAGCCAAUCUCAGUUCGGAUUGUAGGCUGCAACUCGCCUACAUGAAGUCGGAAUCGCUAGUAAUCGCGGAUCAGCACGCCGCGGUGAAUACGUUCCCGGGCCUU
RNAcentral lists this ribosomal RNA (328 nucleotides) under uncultured Streptococcus sp. RNAcentral describes it as "bacterial SSU rRNA". It matches the Rfam family "Bacterial small subunit ribosomal RNA", at positions 1052 to 1382 of the family's 1533-position model. Lineage: Bacteria; Bacillati; Bacillota; Bacilli; Lactobacillales; Streptococcaceae. The record is from RNAcentral.